RNAcentral lists this long non-coding RNA (854 nucleotides) under Pongo abelii (Sumatran orangutan). RNAcentral's name for it is "lincRNA". The record is from RNAcentral. Lineage: Eukaryota; Metazoa; Chordata; Mammalia; Primates; Hominidae.
GAUGAAGAGUGUGAAGCAUGUCCACUCAAUGUAAACGGUGAGACAACAGAAAUCAUUAAAAUGUAUUGAAAAUAUGACUACGGAUGACAUAGGCAGUAUAGUGAAGUUUCUUAUUUUGCAUCAGAACAAGUGUGCUGUUGUUCAUUUUUUUAAAAGAAAAUUGAUAAAUAUUACCACAAUUAAUAGAUACCUGGAUGACUAAGAGAAGGGUCAAAUGAAGGAAUCCGUGAUAAAUAUUUCAAUCCUGUUAUCUUCUCUGCUUUGCACUUCCCAGAAUGGACACACCUGGGCUGGCAGAACAUCUUUCCUUGAUCUGGAGCCCCAUGUCUGCCCCUCUGUAGAGGUGCACAUGGGCCAAUGAUGGAUGCAAUGAGCUGAUCAUUUUGCUGUGAUCAAGGCUAUGUUGCCUCUGUGUUAGGCCAAUUGUUGAUGUUCAUGGGUGAUUGAUCAUCCUGUAGUGACGGUGGUAUUGACUGUUCCCCAAAGGACAAGGAGUGUGUUCUUACAAUGGACAUCAUGAUUGGGAUUGUCUUUAUUAAACUUUGUCAGGAGAGUAAAGAUGAAUGUGGCCGCGUGUUGUGGCUCAUGCCUGUAAUCCCAGCACUUUGGGAGGCCGAGGUGGGCGGAUCACCUGAAGUCGGGAGUUCGAGACCAGCCUGACCAACAUGGAGAAACCCCGUCUCUACUAAAAAUACAAAAUUAGCUGGGCAUGGUGGUGCAUGCCUGUAAUUCCAGCUACUCAGGAGGCUGAGGCAGGAGAAACGCUUGAACCCGAGAGGCGGAGGUUGCAGUGAGCUGAGAUUGUGCCGUUGCACUCCAGGCUGGGCAACAAGAGUGAAACUGCAUCUCAAAAG